Gossypium arboreum is the source of this 119-nucleotide non-coding RNA. NCBI's taxonomy places the organism in Eukaryota, Viridiplantae, Streptophyta, Magnoliopsida, Malvales, Malvaceae. The record is from Rfam.
GGGUGCGAUCAUACCAACACUAAUACACCGGAUCCAAUUAGAACUCCGCAGCUAAGCGUGCUCGGCUAGGAGUAGUACUAAGAUAGGUGACCUCUUGGGAAGUUCUCAUGUUGCACCCC